Molecule: ribosomal RNA, 515 nt
Filed under: uncultured bacterium
Lineage: Bacteria
Description: partial 16S ribosomal RNA
Rfam family: Bacterial small subunit ribosomal RNA
Source: RNAcentral
GAUGAACGCUGGCGGCGUGCCUAAUACAUGCAAGUCGAGCGAAUGGAUUAAGAGCUUGCUCUUAUGAAGUUAGCGGCGGACGGGUGAGUAACACGUGGGUAACCUGCCCAUAAGACUGGGAUAACGCCGGGAAACCGGGGCUAAUACCGGAUAACAUUUUGAACCGCAGGGUGUGAAAUUGAAAAGCGGCUUCGGCUGUCACUUAUGGAUGGAGCAGCGUCGCAUUAGCUAGAUGGUGAGGUAACGGCUCACCAAGGCAACGAUGCGUAGCCGACCUGGGAGGGUGAUCGGCCACACUGAGACUGAGACACGGCCCAGACUCCUACGGGAAGCAGCAGUAGGGAAUCUUCCGCAAUGGACGAAAGUCUGACGAAGCAACGCCGCGUGAGUGAUGAAGGCUUUCGGGUCGUAAAACUCUGUUGUUAGGGAAGAACAAGUGCUAGUUGAAUAAGCUGGCACCUUGACGGUACCUAACCAGAAAGCCACGGCUAACUACGUGCCAGCAGCCGCGGUAA